Molecule: unclassified non-coding RNA, 3554 nt
Filed under: Leishmania donovani
Lineage: Eukaryota; Euglenozoa; Kinetoplastea; Trypanosomatida; Trypanosomatidae
Description: gene:LdHU3.34.1810(CDS-product:SET_domain/TPR_rep eat/Tetratricopeptide_repeat_putative)
Source: RNAcentral
AGGUCCACACAGAAAACAACAACGAAGGAACUCGACACGCACGCGUACGCACGCUGUGAUACACACAAAGGUAACCGAAAAAUAAGCGAAGCUGAACUCAUUGAUCAGCAGCACGGGAAAAGGCGGCUCUCCACCAGUUUGCGACGCCCCUCCCCUCCCUCCCCCCAAAAAAUCGCGUUUGCUUUGCUUUGUAUUUCCCACAACACUGCGUCCCCAUUCCGCCGCGUGUGGUCUGCCUGUCUCCGUUGGUGUGCAUCUGUGUGCCGCAUCUCCCUCCCCCUCCUUCCCUCUUUUAAACCCUCCUCUCUGCUACGGGUCGCUGUUUUUCUUUCUCCGUGGUGGGCUGGGGCCUUGGCGCACUCUGUAGAUCCAGAGCCCGUGUGUAUUUGUGUACGUUCUUCUUGUGCGUGCACAGGCGGACAGACCUCAGGUGCCUUCGUGCUCUCUCUCUCCCUUUCCUUGUUUCGUGCCUUUUCGCCCUUUCUGUACUUCUUCCCUUGCUUGUGCGCUGCCUUCGUACCCCCGGCUCCCUUUCCCCUUCCCUCUUUACUCGUACCAGCUUCCCUCUCCUUUUGUCUUCUGACUUUCGUCAGCCUUCUACCUCCAGUGCGCCACUCCCUCUCCCUCAUAAACGGAGACCCAACAACUGAGCAACGCACACGCAGACAAGAAAGAUAUAGACGAAAAGCAGAGCCACCGCUGUGAUCACAGCUCUUCUUUCUUCUUAACUUGGAACACGUUGCAUCGACGCGUCUACAUGUCGUCCUCGAGCGCACACAGCACUGCGCCGGCCAGUGGCACGGACGGCGCCGAGUCGAAAAAGCCGAUGACGGAUCAGAAUUCGGGUGACCUGUACCCUUUUCUGCAGGAGUUGCAGGAGGAUUUCCCAGUCAACGGCGGCGAGCUCCCCAUAGGGGAACUUCUCAUGCUGCUGAGUGCCAAAAAGCCCGAUGUGUUUGCACGCCUUGACGGAUUCUUCGAGACAGCCAGACGAGUCUCUGGCCUUGACGAGACAAUGGCGCUCAAGUGGAAGGAGAAGGGUAACGCCGAGUAUAAGAGGCGGCUGCAUCAGCAGGCAGCUCUCUCUUACACAAACGGGCUCCUGUGCGCCGAGGCGCCAGAGACGCUGGCGGUGCUGCUCAAUAACCGUAGCACAGUUUUCUUCGACGAGCAUCGCUACGCCGACGCCUGCGUCGACGCGGACCGCGCGGUGCAAUACCAGCCGACUUACUGGAAGGCGUUGCAGCGCCGUGGCCGCUCCCUCGUGGAGCUUGGCUUCACAGAGCUGGGCCAGAAGGAUAUCGAGGCCUCGAAGCAGGAGUCGAGCGAUGCCGCCAACUCGCCAGCAGAUAUGGCUAAGGUGUUUGGCGAGGCUACGAGCGGUAUUUCGGCAGCGUGCCUGCCUCCGCGCGCGCAUGUGAACGGAGAGGUGCGGAUAGAGCGAUCUGCGAAGGGGCGCGGUCUUGUAGCGGCCAGUCGGCUGACGGAGGGGCCGGUGCUAGAAGAAGCCCCGUACGCCAUUGUGGCUCGCACCGAGGCACUGCUGUCCGUAUGCUCGUACUGCCUGCAGCACAGCGCCUGUCUCUACCACGGUGACGAGUACCGGCAGCACCACCUCAAGUCACGCGGCUUCUUCUGCAGCCCGGCAUGUGCGAAGGCCGCGUGGGAGCACUACGGCCAACACGAGAGUCAUCACCCUUUCUUUCUCUGCUGCCCCAAUGAUGCGCUGCUGGCGUACCGCAUGAUUCUCGGCAUGCGCGCAUACCCGGACCUCGCGGAACUCUCCGCUUCCCCCGAGCUCGACCCUGUGACGGAGAACGACUUUGGCGCUAAUCACAUUCGCACCCUGGAAGGCAGCUUCAGCCGCGAGCUACAGUCGAACGCGGCCGUCGGCGGCUGCGAGUCGAUCGUCGCCACGAUCGGCUUCUAUGUGGGUGCGCUGACAGAGCCUGAGGCAGAGCAGCUACGCAAGGCGCAACGACAGAUUCUACUCAACGCGGUGGAUGUGACGUGCAUGAUGCGAACCACCGCUGCGCCUUCAGAAGCCAACAGCUCGACGCUUCUGCAGACAAACACGGUGGUGGCGCGCCUUGGCAAGGCGGUAUACGCAAUCGGCGCACUCUUCAACCACGCCUGCGACCCGAACUGCUACGUAUCGUUUGAGGGCAACCCGCAGGGCUCGUGUGCCCGGCUCAUCGUUCGUGCCAUUCGCCCUGUCAUGGAGGGCGAGGAACUGACGGUGUCGUACGGCGGCAUAUCAUGCUUCUCUUUCCACAGCAUGCGCCAUCGAUUGCAGACCCUGCGCGACCGCUACGGUUUUUUCUGCGGCUGCCGGUCAUGCCGCAACCAGGUCGAUGAGCCGGUGCCGACGGCGGAGAAGGAUAAGUACAUCCAGGCGUCCGACUACUAUCAGAAAGGGCGCCGCCUAGUGCGAGAGCGCAACUACGCCACGGCUGUCACAGUGCUACUGCAAAGCUAUGAGAUUGUCAUGCGGUACAUUUGCCCGCCGCCACACCCACCACAGUGGAUGCUCAUCAAGACGCACGACGCCCUCGCCCAGGCCUACUUCCACCUGGAGCAGCGAGACAAGUGCGUGGAACACUUGCAGGAGGCCCUGCGACUGAACAUAGAAAUUCACAAGAAUGACAACAGGGCGGAACUCAUCAACGAGCACACCCGUCUCGCUUUCCUCGCCGUUGGUCCUGCAGAAAAGAAGGUGCAUGCGGACAAGGCGGUGGAGCUGCUGCGCCGCUUCUACGCACCGUCGAGCAUGUUGGACCUUCAGAUAGCGUACGUGGAGUCCAGCCUCAAGGCGGAACCGGACACACCCGAGGCUGUAGCGACUGCGACGAAGACGUGACGAUGAAGCACCACGGCUUCUUUUCGCCCGCUGCACCUGACCUCUCGUCGAGAUGCAGGCGGAAAGGUGUGGGCAAAGCGGUCGCGGGGCAAAAAAAAAACGAAAGAAAAAAAGGCGAACCGCGAUGAGAGGGAUACAUCGGCAAAGGAGAGGGAAGGCUUGGCUCGGAAUGUGCCACUGAAUUGCGCAGACGACGAGAGCUGGUAGCUGUUUCGUGCCACGAGGAAAGGGAAGUUCGCGCCUCCCGCCUCCCCUUCUCCCGCCAUCACAAAGUCAAAGGCGAGAGGGAAGAUGAGCCUCGAUGAAACGCGACGGUCCGCUGCUUGCGUGUGUGUGCACCCACCCCUGUUCGAUCCUAAUUAUUUCCUUUUCUGAUGCGUUUCUUUCCGAACGCUGUCGCGCUUGUGAGCGCGGUGUUGCGUUACCUGUGGUCGCGUUCUACACUCAUCCACCCCCAUUCUUCUCUACAUGUGUCGUGUUGCUCUUUGACACGUGGAAGCACUCUGCGAGGAGCCGUAAAGGGGGGGGGAGUACACUGGAAGCUAAGGCAGCACGAGCAUGAGCACCGUCGUGCUGCGCUCCCCACUUGCCCCAUUCCACCCCGUGGAAAACUCUCUUUACAUUUUCCGUAUAAGUCGAGGAUGCAAGUACAGGUACGUCUGCGCCGAGAAUUAGGCGUGUGCAUCCCCAUAAC